This 183-nucleotide small nuclear RNA is filed under the name Pogona vitticeps (central bearded dragon). Its description in RNAcentral is "U1 spliceosomal RNA (ENSPVIG00000020257.1)". It matches the Rfam family "U1 spliceosomal RNA". Rfam says of the family: U1 is a small nuclear RNA (snRNA) component of the spliceosome (involved in pre-mRNA splicing). Its 5' end forms complementary base pairs with the 5' splice junction, thus defining the 5' donor site of an intron. The record is from Rfam by way of RNAcentral. Lineage: Eukaryota; Metazoa; Chordata; Lepidosauria; Squamata; Agamidae.
ACUCAUAUCUGGUGGGGAGAUACCAUGAUCAUGAAAGUGGUUUUCAGGGUGAGGCCCAUGCAUUGGACUUUGGGUGUGCUGAUCCCUGUGAUGUGGGGAAAUCACCUGCAUUUGAUCCCCAAAUGUGGGGAAAUCACCUGCAUAAUUGGUGGUAGUGGGGGACUGUGUUUGUGGUUUCCCCUG